Molecule: long non-coding RNA, 522 nt
Organism: Osmia bicornis bicornis
Lineage: Eukaryota; Metazoa; Arthropoda; Insecta; Hymenoptera; Megachilidae
Exons: 3
Source: RefSeq, a predicted model, not a curated record
AAAAAUUAUAUUAAUUACUUAGUUGUAAAAUAUUAGGAAUUUCACUGUCCGUUAGCGAAACAAAGUAGUGAUUCCGACUAUAAAACAGUAACAUCUAUUCGCAGCCAAGAAGCUUAAAGCCUUCCAAACAAACAAGCUAGUUAACGGAGCGUCUCUCUCUGAUGUCUUCCAUCAUUUUGAUUUAUUUUACGACCAAGCAAAAUCAUCCUCCACCCGUAUGCGCUCAUACACGUCCAAGGAGAUGACGAUUGCGCAACUUUACAGCCACGACGAGUCCUCUGUUUGCGAUUGUCCUAUUCGUGACUCGUUUGUAAAUCAGUGAUGAGUAAACUGCACCCCCAACCUUUGGACGUGUAUUUUGAAAAUAGUCAAAAGUGAAUUUUCAAGUAUUCCAUCAUUCAUAGUGUUUAAAAUAUCUUCUUAAGAUUUAGUUGAACAUAAGCGAAGAACCAAGCAAAGGAGGUUAAGAUCCAGCACCUGAGCCAAGAUCCUCCUCUCGACGGCGGUGAAGUAUAGGAAGAA